This 164-nucleotide ribosomal RNA is filed under the name Trifolium pilulare. Its description in RNAcentral is "5.8S ribosomal RNA". The stretch from base 2 to 144 matches the Rfam family "5.8S ribosomal RNA". Rfam says of the family: 5.8S ribosomal RNA (5.8S rRNA) is a component of the large subunit of the eukaryotic ribosome. It is transcribed by RNA polymerase I as part of the 45S precursor that also contains 18S and 28S rRNA. Functionally, it is thought that 5.8S rRNA may be involved in ribosome translocation. The record is from RNAcentral. Lineage: Eukaryota; Viridiplantae; Streptophyta; Magnoliopsida; Fabales; Fabaceae.
CGGAUAUCUAGGCUCUUGCAUCGAUGAAGAACGUAGCGAAAUGCGAUACUUGGUGUGAAUUGCAGAAUCCCGUGAACCAUCGAGUUUUUGAACGCAAGUUGCGCCUGAUGCCAUUAGGUUGAGGGCACGUCUGCCUGGGCGUCACAUAUCGAAGAAUCUUGCCA